UCCGGCAAACAUUUCUACUCCCUGGU
Molecule: non-coding RNA, 26 nt
Filed under: Homo sapiens (human)
Lineage: Eukaryota; Metazoa; Chordata; Mammalia; Primates; Hominidae
Source: RNAcentral